GGGUCAGUGGGUUGGUCGUGCCACCGGUACGUACUGGUCUCACUGAUUCCUCCUUCCUGAAGAACCGUAAUGCCAUUAAUUUGGUGUUGCGGGGAAACAGGACUGUUACUUUGAAAAAAUUAGAGUGUUUAAAGCAAGCUAACGCUUGAAUACAUUAGCAUGGAAUAAUGAAAUAGGACGAUCGAUCCUAUUUUGUCGGUUUCUAGGAUUGACGUA
Molecule: ribosomal RNA, 216 nt
Filed under: Glomeromycotina sp.
Lineage: Eukaryota; Fungi; Glomeromycota
Description: partial small subunit ribosomal RNA
Rfam family: Eukaryotic small subunit ribosomal RNA (bases 40-216)
Source: RNAcentral